RNAcentral lists this ribosomal RNA (1128 nucleotides) under Triticum aestivum (bread wheat). RNAcentral's name for it is "partial small subunit ribosomal RNA". Lineage: Eukaryota; Viridiplantae; Streptophyta; Magnoliopsida; Poales; Poaceae. The record is from RNAcentral.
AUGAGCAAGACAAUUGAGGCUAGACAGUUCCCAAGUAGUACACCCGACGCGAUUUCAAUGUCGUACAUGAGGAAAGGUUUGAUGUUUGAGCACAUGCUAGAAUUCAGGAUGUGGUUGUGUGAGUAUGCUGUCAAACACCACAGGCCUUUCAUACUUGUUCACUCGGACUGCAACAAGCGAUGCACCAUGAAAUGUGAGGUAAAAAGAUGCAAAUGUAAAGUCAAUGGAAGACUCACGAAAGAUGGUUGGUGGAAGAUAACUAGUUGCAAAGCCAUCCACCAAUGCACACCGCCGGCCGUAGAAGCACGGAAGACACACCGUCAACUAACCUCGGAAUUCAUUGGUUAUAAAUACCAGAAACAUAUAGCCGAGGAUCCAACCAUUAAAGUGCAGUUGUUGAUGAGUUGGAUUGAAGAUAAGUUCGGAUAUAAGGUCAAGUACGGGAAGACAUGGAAGACCAAGCAAGUCGCUCUCAGAAUGUUGUACGGUGGAUGGGAAGAGGCUUACAACAUGCUACCUAGGUUGCUGGGAGCGAUGUCGUAUAGAAACCCAGGAAUGUACCACUAUGUCCAAGAUAUUGAAGGAGUGUUCCGUCAUGGGACAUUCUUGACAGGGAAAUAUAAGGACACACUCAUGAUAGCAAUGGCACAUGAUGCUAACGAUCAGGUGUUACCUGUGGCAUUUGCUUUGGUCUCCGUGGAGAACCAAGACAACUGGGAAUGGUUCAUGAGACUUGUUAGGAGCACGGUCAUUCCUCCGAAUAGGGAGUCAUUCACGACCCGCUUGAACAAAAUCUAUGAGAAGGCAAACAAAGAUGGGAAAGAUUUCUUAGAAAAGAAUAUUGAUGAAAGACACAAGUGGUCAUGGGCAUGUGACGAAGGAGGCAUGAGAUAUGGUGACAUGACAAGCAAUCUUGUUGAGUGCUUCAACUUUGUCUUGAAGGGUGCCCGUCAGUUGCCGGUGACGGCAAUAGCGGAAUAUACCUUUUACAAGCUAAAUGAGUAUUUUUUUAAGCACUUCGAUGAAAUCGACAAGUUGAUUGCUGAUAGUGAGAAGCCUCCCAAUGAAAUUUAUCCGAAGAAGGUUGCCGAGUGGCUGGAGUUUCAGAGAGACAAGUCAGCCAUCUAG